AGUGAACGCUGGCGGUAGGCCUAACACAUGCAAGUCGAACGGCAGCACAGUAAGAGCUUGCUCUUACGGGUGGCGAGUGGCGGACGGGUGAGGAAUACAUCGGAAUCUACUUUUUCGUGGGGGAUAACGUAGGGAAACUUACGCUAAUACCGCAUACGACCUACGGGUGAAAGCAGUGGAUCUUCGGACCUUUCGCGAUUGAAUGAGCCGAUGUCGGAUUAGCUAGUUGGCGGGGUAAAGGCCCACCAAGGCGACGAUCCGUAGCUGGUCUGAGAGGAUGAUCAGCCACACUGGAACUGAGACACGGUCCAGACUCCUACGGGAGGCAGCAGCGGGGAAUAUUGGACAAUGGGCGCAAGCCUGAUCCAGCCAUACCGCGUGGGUGAAGAAGGCCUUCGGGUUGUAAAGCCCUUUUGUUGGGAAAGAAAAGCAGCAGGUUAAUACCCCGCUGUUCUGACGGUACCCAAAGAAUAAGCACCGGCUAACUUCGUG
RNAcentral lists this ribosomal RNA (492 nucleotides) under uncultured bacterium. Its description in RNAcentral is "partial 16S ribosomal RNA". It matches the Rfam family "Bacterial small subunit ribosomal RNA", at positions 29 to 507 of the family's 1533-position model. The record is from RNAcentral.